RNAcentral lists this ribosomal RNA (548 nucleotides) under uncultured bacterium. Its description in RNAcentral is "bacterial SSU rRNA". It matches the Rfam family "Bacterial small subunit ribosomal RNA", at positions 962 to 1509 of the family's 1533-position model. The record is from RNAcentral.
CGAAGAACCUUACCUGGUCUUGACAUAGUAAGAACUUUCCAGAGAUGGAUUGGUGCCUUCGGGAACUUACAUACAGGUGCUGCAUGGCUGUCGUCAGCUCGUGUCGUGAGAUGUUGGGUUAAGUCCCGCAACGAGCGCAACCCUUUUCCUUAUUUGCCAGCGGGUUAAGCCGGGAACUUUAAGGAUACUGCCAGUGACAAACUGGAGGAAGGCGGGGACGACGUCAAGUCAUCAUGGCCCUUACGACCAGGGCUACACACGUGCUACAAUGGUCGGUACAAAGGGUUGCUACCUAGCGAUAGGAUGCUAAUCUCAAAAAGCCGAUCGUAGUCCGGAUUGGAGUCUGCAACUCGACUCCACGAAGUCGGAAUCGCUAGUAAUCGCGGAUCAGAAUGCCGCGGUGAAUACGUUCCCGGGCCUUGUACACACCGCCCGUCACACCAUGGGAGUUUGUUGCACCAGAAGUAGGUAGUCUAACCGCAAGGAGGACGCUUACCACGGUGUGGCCGAUGACUGGGGUGAAGUCGUAACAAGGUAGGCGUAGAUGA